RNAcentral lists this long non-coding RNA (4353 nucleotides) under Malus domestica (apple). RNAcentral's name for it is "long non-coding RNA (MDOM_LNC013714)". Lineage: Eukaryota; Viridiplantae; Streptophyta; Magnoliopsida; Rosales; Rosaceae. The record is from RNAcentral.
UCCGGUUUUGUGCAUCAACAAAUAUCAAUGUCUGAAUCUUGUCUAGUUUGAAGAUAGAAGAAAACUUAUUCUUCCAUCCUACCAAAACUGAAUGUAGAGACAAAAUUUAAUAAGUUAUCUAAUUUAAUAUACAAGACACAAAACGAAACAAGACCUUAUAUAUCUAGGUUAAUUAUGGCUUUAAUCUAAUUAUUGUAAGCAUUGCUCGUUAUUAUUUUACAAAUUAUGCAGAAAAUUAAUUAGCUAGGUUCUGUUUGGUAUGCCAUAGAAAGUGUAGAAACACACGGUUUCUAAUCACCUAUCCCUUGGUUGGAACUGCAUCUUUAUCCAUGACUCAUGGCGAGCCAUGCCGAUAUAGUAGUUCUGGCUUCAGCUACCUUAUGUCUAUGGCAUCGCAAUCUUGACUUUUGAUGCCCAUGAUAGACCGUGUUUAUCAUAUGCUGGGACACACAGACACUGAUAACCACAAUAAUAGUAGACUAGUAGCAGCGAAUUGUAGGGCAGUCCGAAAAUCCUGCACAACAAAAACAAAAUGCAAUCAAUCUUCACUUCUCAUAUUUUCUAAAUUUUAGUCAAGACCGAUACUAGCACAACUCUUUAUAUUUGUCAAGUCUUUGAGUCUUAAAUUACUUACAGUUUAGUUUCAAAACCGUAGUUCAUCUAAAGUGCGAAUUCUCAUAUUAAUGGAAACAUGAGUACUGUUAGAUUGACGAGUUUAUAUUUCUUUACUAGGUAUAGGGUUUUUUUUUUUUUUCUUCUUGUUUUUGUAAUCACAGUCUAUUGAUUUAUUCCCGUUUAAAUGAUUAGUAACACUAAAGAUAUACCAAUCAAUCUAUUGGAUUCUCCAAAUCUGACUCUAUCACUCUGCAGAUUAAUAACAUAUGUGGGACCGCAGGUCCCAUUGACACAGGUAAAUAGUAUUGUUGCUACUUGCUUGGUUUGAUGAUGACGACGACGAUUCUGUUUGGGAUAUGAUGUUGGACAUAUGAAGCCCGGAAAGUGUGAGAAAAGAGAAUGGGAGCAAGAUGAUUGGAGAAGGCAAAGGCCAUGAUUGAACACACGGAGAGUGUGUUUUAAGCCAUCCCCUCCCCCUUGCGGCAUUGUCCCAUGGUCAACAAUCCUAGCUUGUCCUUACGCAAGCAUAUCAAUUUAUAUUUUUACAGUCGAAUAAUAUAAGUUAUCUUUAACUUUUGAAAAAACUAAGAGAUAUAGGAGAAAUAAAGUUCAUCUUAUUUGGUAUUACUCUGGCACUAGUUAUGAGAGUCGUCAAUCUCUUCCUAAAUUUUAUGUUGCCAAAAAAAAGUUUCAUCAUUAUUUCGUUCACACUCAACAUCUUAACAGAAUUGAAUUUUUCCUAGCUAAGGGAAAUGAGAAUAGGACUAUGGUCAAAGAAUCGUUGGCAACUGUCGAUUGAAAUCAACAAGAACAAUAGUAUUUCGUAAUUCACGACACUCGAGAGGAUUUUUUAUUUUUCUACAAUUGUAACCUUUUUAGAUAUGGGUAAGGACACCGUUUGCUACACUCACGUCUCCCAAGAAAGGUUUGUAAUCUAAGCAAGGUCAAAAUUUGAGGAUUUGAUAAUGCUGGCUGUUGAUGUUUACGGAACUGACCCCAAGGUUGAAAUGGACAAGGAAAUUAUCAAUAAGAUCAUCAUCGAGAAAUUUUUCUAAGGGUCCACACGGAUUUCCUUAGUGGAAACAACAAGCCCGAGGAAGUUGAUUCGGUCUACCCUACAGAUACCUACUAACUCCGCCUACAACUGGUGUUUCCUUAACUUUCUCCAACACGACUUUGGAUGUCAUAAGCGAUUUCCCAACAGAUAUGCCUCUGCCCACCAUUCCUAAGGAACAUAUGUUGCAGAAUAGCGAUCCGAUAUUGAAAGUCAUUCAUCAAAUAAUUACGACAAACUUGAGGCACAAUCCCGACACGAAUUUCUUAUACUUCAAAUAGGAUGUGACUAUUCAGGCUGAAUGAGGAUUGCACAACUGUGCCGAAGGACAUCAGUAAACAGAAGCCAUGACAUCCAAAUGAUAUCAAGGCCAACACACUACUAGAGUAAGAGAAGAUCCUAGGUAUGCUCUGAACAAACCAUUCUCUGAUACCAAACUAACACGCCCCAAUCCCAAUAUCCCCAUAUACCAGGGUAGGCACGUGCUGGUCGACACCCAAGGGUGACGAAGCCAUUUUAAAUAUGCAAACAAAUAAAGAAUAUGCAAUUAGAACGAAAUAUGCCAUUGUACGAACAUGUUCAGAGCAUACAACGACUAAGAAUAAUAUGGAAGAAUUAGUAAGAAAAGAUACGAACAAGGAAAUGAUACCUAUACUAAGAAGACUCGAGGAUACCUAUGUUGUAGAGUCAUGACACCGGGAACAAAUGUCUCGAUUCUAACUCCUGAGGUGGCGCAAAAACCAAAAGGUGAGUGGACAAACUUUUAUAAUAAUACUAAUAAGAAGAAAACAUUUUAUUUCUGAACAUAAUAAGCCCCUGUUUUGAAAACACAUAUAAUACUACAUAAUAGAUUUUCUGAAAACCCUAGCAUGCCAUGAAAAACCAUUUAAUAAGGAAGUGCGUAAAAUCUAGUGCUCAAUUAUAGAAAUAUCAUUGCCCGAAGGCAAUUUUGUAAAACAUCUAGAAAUCACGUCAGUGAGGUACUCACUAGGGGUAUCAUAGUCGCCCAAAUGUAAUACAUGUCCAUCACCUGAAGGUGAAGCUGAAUAACAUGUCCAUCACCCGAAGGUGAAGCUGAAUAACCUGUCCAUCACCCGAAGGUGAAGCUGAAUAAAAUAGCAUAACAUACACAUCAACACUAACCGUGGCUAGUGAAGCUGUCCGACACUGCUUUCGGCAGUUAAGCUGGGGGUAUAUCAUAAACAUCAUCAAUUGUGUCAUAUGGCGAUAGACGUCAUACCCGUGUUGUGUGUAUGUGCCAUAUGAUAACCCACUAGAUAAGUACCAAAAACAUAUCUCAAAACUCGUAUUAAAAUACCGGAGUUCAAAAGCUCAAAGUCACAUCUCAUAAAUCCAUGAUAAAUCAUAUUCAUGAAUCCAUAAAAUAAAUCAUAUUCGCAAUUUCGUAAUAUAAAUAGUAUUCGAAAUCCAUAGAAAUCCAUGUAUGCAAAUCCAAUAAUUUGUAUCCAUUCGUAAAACGUAAUCUCUAUAAAUUAUUAAUAUUUUGUAAACCCUAAAUUAUAGAAAUCCAUAAAUCAUAUUAUAAAACAUACUUAAAUCAUGAAACAUGAGAUGCAUGCUAGGGUAAUGUUUAUAAAAACAUAUAAGUUAAGAAGGGGUCCACUCACAAAUAUUUUAUUGCCCGAGAGCUGCUUGAACUAGCGAGGAGGGUGCCACCUCCCACCGAAGCACCUAAACACAUAUAGAGGCCAUUUAAAAAACUAUACUAAAACGUCAGAAUUUUGGAAAACGGGUGACGAAUUAUGUCACGUCCCGGAUCCGGGGUUGGAAAAAAAAUUAACCCCGCACCCAGCGCACGAGUAAAAGUAAAAUAAAUAAAAGGAAAUUGACACGGGUUGGAAAAAUAAACUCCACUUUUUAAAUAUAACUCCAAAUUCCUCACAGGGUGUACAAAAGUAAUAAAUUAAAAUCCUUAAACUUCUCCUCAAUCACAACCUCAGCUCUUUUAACACAUGUCUUGCCAAAUAACAUCUGUAAAAUAAUAGGUGAGGGGUGAGCAACAACCACCAUCGCUCAAUGAGUAGAAUAUGUAAUAUGUCAAUCAAGCAAUGCAUGUUUACACACACUAGAAAAUACAAUAAUAAUAUCAAAGGUUUAACCACGUAAUUUCAUAUCACAUCAUCCUUUUACGUGUUCAUUACAUCCUUCAUAAAUUGUAACUCACCACGUGACCUCUACUGGCCUUUUUGCCCUAAUGUCCCCGUGUGCAGUUUACAUUUAUCCCUUGGAUUAAUGCAACACUAAAGUUCUCAUACUCCAUGAACAUAUCCAAAUAAUCCACAUAUCACCAUAUUAAUAAUUCCAAAAGCAUUUCAACAAAUCCAACAUGCUUGACUUAAAAUAGAUAGAGAUUUAUAAAUAGAUAAAACCCACUAUAAUUCAUGGUUUUCAUUUAUCAGAAAAUAAGAAUACUUUAAAACACAUUACAUAAACCACUCACCUUGAUAAUCCAAGCUUUGGCAAGACAACCCAACUAACAUCUCUACAAACCUCAAACUCUCUAACCCUAAACUCUCUUGCUUCUCUCUACGUUGAACCUUCGAUGCAUGCUCUGCAUGUUUCCUUGAUAUGCGAAAACAAUGGAGCAUGGCCUUCUAUUUAUAGGUUAGGGAAGCCGGCAACAACUUGGUUGGAAUUGGAUGGUUUUUGGGGUCUCAAAGGCA